This 684-nucleotide small RNA is filed under the name Pan troglodytes (chimpanzee). Its description in RNAcentral is "retained intron". The record is from RNAcentral. Lineage: Eukaryota; Metazoa; Chordata; Mammalia; Primates; Hominidae.
CCUCGACUUCGGAGAGGCAGCGCGGUUCCUCUGGGUGCUUCCGCCUCCCCUUCUCCUGCUUCUCCAGCCUCUUCGGCCUCCUCGCCCGCCGCGGGAACCCGAGACCCCAGUGUAUGCCCCACCCCUGACCCCGCUCGCGACAUGUCCACCCCGGCUCGGCGGCGCCUCAUGCGGGACUUCAAGAGGUUGCAGGAGGAUCCUCCAGCCGGAGUCAGCGGGGCUCCGUCCGAGAACAACAUAAUGGUGUGGAACGCGGUCAUUUUCGGGCCUGAAGGGACCCCGUUUGAGGAUGGUAAGAGAGAGUUUCUUUACCCACUUUUCAGGAGCCUGGUCAUCUGGGGAAAGGGUUCCCAGUCAUCCUGGAAGUGUCUCCUGCUUAGGAACCUGCCUCUGCCUAGCCUCUGUCUGCUAAAGGCUUGAGUGGAAUGCAGUGUGUGGCUGGUGGUUCUGGAUAUUGUAUGCUUGACUAGAACUGCACCUUUCUUCUUGCUUUCUUAAAAAAAAAUCUGGGUAAGGCAGUCACUUUUUAAAAGGAGCAAUCAUAGCACUGGUAUUAAGGAUUUUGAGGCUUGGGCUGUGAUUCUGCUAAAUUCAGCCCUCCAUCACUGAAUUAGUAUAAACCCAACCAGUUGCUGAUAGUCAGCAGAGACCCCAGAGACCAUCUGGUUCAGAAUUCUACCCCAA